CGUGGGAGGAGGCCAACACUCGGGGCGCUCCCUAGCCCUGGGUGGGUAGAGCGGGAGAAGCCGAGUAUGUUGGACCCGGCUCCGCCCUACCCCACGGGGCCGCCUGGAGAGGUGCUGGGAGCUGGGUGGAGCUUAAGAGGAAUUAAACUUUCGCCCUGCGUCUCGUCCAGCCUAGGUUCCACCCUUUUCUGGCAACGGUCUUACUCUGUGACCCACGCUGGAGUGCAAUGGCACCAUCAUGACUUACUGCAGCCUCGACUUCCCGGGCUCAAGUGAUUCUCACACCUCAGCCUCCCGAGUAGCUGAGACCACAGUUCACACCCCGCUACUCCUGAGUGCCACACACCGGCUUCCUCCCAGUCCCUCAUCUGAGAACUCAUGAAGCCACCUGGAAUCCCUUUCUGCUUUGCCUGGCUCAUUCCAUCUCAAUUUCAGAUCUUCGCUACAGGUCAGCUCCAAGGAGGAGCUCUCAAAACCUAGCUCUCAAAACCUAGCUCUUUUCCUUCAGAGCACUGGCCUCCAAUU
Molecule: non-coding RNA, 525 nt
Filed under: Pongo abelii (Sumatran orangutan)
Lineage: Eukaryota; Metazoa; Chordata; Mammalia; Primates; Hominidae
Source: RNAcentral